This 579-nucleotide long non-coding RNA is filed under the name Gossypium raimondii (Peruvian cotton). Its description in RNAcentral is "long non-coding RNA (GRAI_LNC005155)". Lineage: Eukaryota; Viridiplantae; Streptophyta; Magnoliopsida; Malvales; Malvaceae. The record is from RNAcentral.
UUGUUUUCAGACAGACUCCCCUACUCUUGCUUCUAACUCAAGGUAAAGCUUUUUGGAUUUGAUUCCAUCUAAGUUUCUUCAUUUAUUUACAGAUCUUUACUUUUUCACUUUUUUCAUGAGCAAAAUAAAGUUUCCAUCCUUGGUUAGUACAGGGAUUGAAGCUGAAAGAAACGUGGUUGAGGCUAUGGGGGAAAUCACCAGGAAAUCAGUGUUCCUAUGACUCUGUACCGAACAUUUACUGCUAAAAACCAAAUCUAGAUGCUGAGACAUUGAAGAUGGGAAGAAUAACAUGACAAGUUGGAGCCAAAAAGUUGGUAAACCCAUGGUAAUAAGAGCAGUUAAAGCACCAAAAAGUUGUAAACCCCACCACUUUGGGUGUUUGUAUCUGUCAGAAUCGAUCAAAGCCCUCAAAUGAAACUCUUUUAACAUGCUAUGCCGGCAAAUGCAAAACCCAUCUUCAACUAGUGGCAGAUGACAACCACCCCAUUUAUUCAUUCUUUUUAUCAUGUAUAUUUUUCUUUUUGUACUAGUUCAUCUAUCAUCACCACUCAUAAGUUCUCUCAACACUAUAUUUCCAUC